Molecule: non-coding RNA, 127 nt
Organism: Lupinus angustifolius (narrow-leaved blue lupine)
Lineage: Eukaryota; Viridiplantae; Streptophyta; Magnoliopsida; Fabales; Fabaceae
Source: Rfam
UACGCCUCCGAAUAACCACACGGUUAAUUUAACCCCGUGUGGUUCAGACAGAGGCGAAUAUCGAUUUUUGGAUUUAACACUUCUAAAGUGUUAAAUCCCCGAAUAGGUUUGAUAGUACGGAAUACUU